GCUGCGAUGGCUGAGAGGUUAAGGCGUUGGACUUGAAAUUCAGUGGGUUACCCCUCGCAGGUUCAAACCUGCUCACAGCA
Gavialis gangeticus (Gharial) is the source of this 80-nucleotide non-coding RNA. NCBI's taxonomy places the organism in Eukaryota, Metazoa, Chordata, Crocodylia, Gavialidae. The record is from the annotation of a RefSeq genome assembly.